UGGGGAAUUUUGGACAAUGGGGGAAACCCUGAUCCAGCCAUCCCGCGUGUGCGAUGAAGGCCUUCGGGUUGUAAAGCACUUUUGGCAGGAAAGAAACGUCAUGGGUUAAUACCCCGUGAAACUGACGGUACCUGCAGAAUAAGCACCGGCUAACUACGUGCCAGCAGCCGCGGUAAUACGUAGGGUGCAAGCGUUAAUCGGAAUUACUGGGCGUAAAGCGUGCGCAGGCGGGUCGGAAAGAAAGAUGUGAAAUCCCAGAGCUCAACUUUGGAACUGCAUUUUUAACUACCGGGCUAGAGUGUGUCAGAGGGAGGUGGAAUUCCGCGUGUAGCAGUGAAAUGCGUAGAUAUGCGGAGGAACACCGAUGGCGAAGGCAGCCUCCUGGGAUAACACUGACGCUCAUGCGCGAAAGCGUGGGGAGCAAACAGG
RNAcentral lists this ribosomal RNA (429 nucleotides) under Acidobacteriota bacterium. RNAcentral describes it as "Acidobacteria bacterium partial 16S ribosomal RNA". It matches the Rfam family "Bacterial small subunit ribosomal RNA", at positions 355 to 776 of the family's 1533-position model. The record is from RNAcentral. Lineage: Bacteria; Pseudomonadati; Acidobacteriota.